RNAcentral lists this transfer RNA (77 nucleotides) under Formosimonas limnophila. RNAcentral describes it as "tRNA-Ile". It matches the Rfam family "tRNA". From Rfam's summary of the family: Transfer RNA (tRNA) molecules are approximately 80 nucleotides in length. Their secondary structure includes four short double-helical elements and three loops (D, anti-codon, and T loops). Further hydrogen bonds mediate the characteristic L-shaped molecular structure. tRNAs have two regions of fundamental functional importance: the anti-codon, which is responsible for specific mRNA codon recognition, and the 3' end, to which the tRNAs corresponding amino acid is attached (by aminoacyl-tRNA synthetases). tRNAs cope with the degeneracy of the genetic code in two manners: having more than one tRNA (with a specific anti-codon) for a particular amino acid; and 'wobble' base-pairing, i.e. permitting non-standard base-pairing at the 3rd anti-codon position. Lineage: Bacteria; Pseudomonadati; Pseudomonadota; Betaproteobacteria; Burkholderiales; Burkholderiaceae. The record is from RNAcentral. RNAcentral also lists the same sequence under 5 other names.
GGGUCUUUAGCUCAGUUGGUUAGAGCACUGUGUUGAUAACGCAGGGGUCGAUGGUUCGAGUCCAUCAAGACCCACCA